AGGCGGGGAAACCGAGGCCCAGAAGCAAGUGCCCGAGGCGCGCCCUCCCCCCGCCCCGGCCCGGACCUCACCGGCAGGACCGCGGAAAAAAACGCGGGGAUAUUGUGGAGAACUCAAUAUACUUUGCGAAAUUUUCAAGCUAAAGGAAAGGUCUCAUUUUUUUGGCCUUGGCGUGGCCUGGAAUCCUGGAAGACCCAACUGUCUGUCCUAGGCAAGCAAACCACAGCGAGGCGCAGGGAAAACAGCAAAGAAGGACACAGCGAUGCCUCACUGAGAACUCGGAGCUGCCCUCCGGACCGAGGCUCCCCUCUACCCAGCCCAGCCUCCACCCCCAGCCCAGCCUCGGGACCCGGGGCUCUGUCACCCAGAACACAGCUGGCUGACUGUGCCCUCUCAGGGACCCUGCUCUCAGGAGCGGGCCUUCCCCAAGCUAAGCCCAGAACAAGCAUCCCAACGCCGGCUCACCCACCAAGGGGAGUCCAUGGGAACAGGACCCAGACCCUCAGACCCAGGGAGGGGCUGGGGGUGGGCUUCCAGGCACCCUUCCAUCCGUCGAUUUAACCAGCCUUCAUCGGCUCAGCCUAAAGAUUAGGAGACGCGCUCCUCAGAGCUUCCAGCCUGCGGGGUAGUCAGACCCAGACACCAAUAAGGAUGGUACCACCAGAUAAGGGACCGAGGAGCCCUGGAGAGACAGGAUAGCAUAGCCACUAAGAGGUCAGACUCUGAGCCAAUAGGGGUUCAAUAUGGAUGCGGCCAUGCACCUGCGAUGUGCCCUCGGGCGAGUUCCUCAACCUCCAUGUGCCUUUGUUUCCUCAUCUUUCCAAUGACAGAGUAACAGCUGCUUGUCAGGAUUCAACAGGGGUGUGUAACUCACUCAGGCUGGUGCCUGUUAGAGCAAAUGCUGUAUGAGUGAUCGCUCUUAGUAACCGAGAAAGUUACCAUUGUGGUGGCGUCACAAUUUGGGGGGGCGGGGGCAGGCAUGAGGGAGGAGAGUGUUCCAGAAGAGGGGACGGCAAAGCAAAGAGAAGCAGAGGUAAGAAGGAAGGAUGGUAAGACAGGUCUGGGGUGUGGAGAGCGGCCCCCUUAGCGAGACCCAGCAAAGUCCUGAGAGCCUGAUCUGGCCUGACUCAGACCCGGGGCUCAAUCCCCU
RNAcentral lists this long non-coding RNA (1150 nucleotides) under Sus scrofa (pig). RNAcentral describes it as "lncRNA (ENSSSCG00005009146.1)". Lineage: Eukaryota; Metazoa; Chordata; Mammalia; Artiodactyla; Suidae. The record is from RNAcentral.